CCUACGGGAGGCAGCAGUAAGGAAUAUUGGUCAAUGGACGCAAGUCUGAACCAGCCAUGCCGCGUGCAGGAUGAAGGCCCUCUGGGUUGUAAACUGCUUUUAUAGGGGACGAAAAAGGGACUUUCUAGUUCAACUGACGGUACCCUAGGAAUAAGCACCGGCUAACUCCGUGCCAGCAGCCGCGGUAAUACGGAGGGUGCAAGCGUUAUCCGGAUUUACUGGGUUUAAAGGGUGCGUAGGUGGGUCGGUAAGUCAGCGGUGAAAUCUUCGAGCUUAACUCGGAAACUGCCAUUGAUACUAUCGAUCUUGAAUCAUCUAGAGGUAAGCGGAAUAUGUCAUGUAGCGGUGAAAUGCUUAGAUAUGACAUAGAACACCAAUUGCGAAGGCAGCUUACUAUGGAUGCAUUGACACUGAGGCACGAAAGCGUGGGGAUCAAACAGGAUUAGAUACCCUGGUAGUCCACGCCCUAAACGAUGGAUACUCGACAUCAGCGAUACACUGUUGGUGUCUGAGCGAAAGCAUUAAGAUCCAACCUGGGAAGUUACGAUCGCAAGAUUGAAACUUCAAAAGUUGAGUUAGAGGCGNGAGAGNGCGACGGACGACGACGAGGAGGUAGG
This 617-nucleotide ribosomal RNA is filed under the name uncultured bacterium. Its description in RNAcentral is "bacterial SSU rRNA". It matches the Rfam family "Bacterial small subunit ribosomal RNA", at positions 338 to 954 of the family's 1533-position model. The record is from RNAcentral.